CCUACGGGAGGCAGCAGUGGGGAAUAUUGCACAAUGGGGGAAACCCUGAUGCAGCGACGCCGCGUGAGUGAAGAAGUAUUUCGGUAUGUAAAGCUCUAUCAGCAGGGAAGAAAAUGACGGUACCUGAAGAAGAAGCCCCGGCUAACUACGUGCCAGCAGCCGCGGUAAUACGUAGGUGGCAAGCGUUAUCCGGAUUUACUGGGUGUAAAGGGAGUGUAGGCGGAGUGACAAGUCAGAUGUGAAAUACAAGGGCUCAACCCGUGAAUUGCCUUUGAAACUGUUUACCUUGAGUGUCGGAGAGGUAAGCGGAAUUCCUGGUGUAGCGGUGAAAUGCGUAGAUAUUAGGAAGAACACCAGUGGCGAAGGCGGCUUACUGGACUAUAACGGACGGUGAGGCGCGAAAGCGUGGGGAGCAAACAGGAUUAGAUACCCCAGUAGUC
RNAcentral lists this ribosomal RNA (440 nucleotides) under uncultured bacterium. RNAcentral's name for it is "partial 16S ribosomal RNA". It matches the Rfam family "Bacterial small subunit ribosomal RNA", at positions 338 to 795 of the family's 1533-position model. The record is from RNAcentral.